CAAUGACUGUGAUCAACUGUAUGGCGUACACUCACUUUCCACCCACUAGCAUCGAACUCUCUGUCACUGACAUUGCAACUAAUCAAGAGGUGAUUAUAAAAUCAUAAUCAUAAUCAAUACUCAAUAGAAUUCUUAUUCUAAGACAAAGGCGACUAUAAAUUGUAUUCCCUUGAACAGUCUAGUGCGCCACAGUUGUUCAAACUGCUACGUUAUUUACCGAGCAUUUAAUACACGGUUCAUAACUGCGUCAAUUACAGUUAAAACGUUCGAAGUCGUGUGAGGUACAUUGAAGGUGAGGUGUUUAAUUAACUACAAUCAGUCACACACUCACACCUCAUAACCUGUCCACGUCAACAGUUCAGUAAAUGGUUCGAAGUCGUGUGAGUUUUUAUGUGAAUUCACUGACAUUGGACUAUAUUGCAAACUAAGGAUUUGUAAAGAAAGG
This is a non-coding RNA of Paramuricea clavata, 445 nucleotides long. The record is from the annotation of a GenBank genome assembly. NCBI's taxonomy places the organism in Eukaryota, Metazoa, Cnidaria, Anthozoa, Malacalcyonacea, Plexauridae.